Molecule: ribosomal RNA, 467 nt
Filed under: uncultured bacterium
Lineage: Bacteria
Description: partial 16S ribosomal RNA
Rfam family: Bacterial small subunit ribosomal RNA
Source: RNAcentral
GAUGAACGCUGGCGGCGUGCUUAACACAUGCAAGUCGAACGGAAAGGCCCAAGCUUGCUUGGGUACUCGAGUGGCGAACGGGUGAGUAACACGUGGGUGAUCUGCCCUGCACUUCGGGAUAAGCCUGGGAAACUGGGUCUAAUACCGGAUAGGACCACUUCUUGGAUGUUGUGGUGGAAAGUUUUUUCGGUGUGGGAUGAGCUCGCGGCCUAUCAGCUUGUUGGUGGGGGAAUGGCCUACCAAGGCGUCGACGGGUAGCCGGCCUGGGAGGGUGUACGGCCACAUUGGGACUGAGAUACGGCCCCGACUCCUACGGGGGGCAGCAGUGGGGAAUAUUGCACAAUGGGCGCAAGCCUGAUGCAGCGACGCCGCGUGGGGGAUGACGGCCUUCGGGUUGUAAACUCCUUUCGCUAGGGACGAAGCGUUUUGUGACGGUACCUGGAGAAGAAGCACCGGCUAACUACGUG